RNAcentral lists this unclassified non-coding RNA (166 nucleotides) under soil metagenome. RNAcentral's name for it is "partial contains 5.8S ribosomal RNA, internal transcribed spacer 2, and large subunit ribosomal RNA". The record is from RNAcentral.
AACGCACGAGACCUGCGGACCUGCGGAGGGAUCAUUAGUGAACGCCCUCACGGGCUUAUAACUAUUCCAAACCUCUGUGAACCGUGCCCUUCGGGGCUAUUUUACAAACAUGGUGUAAUGAACGUCAUAUAUCAUAACAAAACAAAACUUUCAGCAAUGGAUCUCU